CAGCAGCACGGGAAUACAGAGGGUGCAAGCGUUAAUCGGAAUUACUGGGCGUAAAGCGCGCGUAGGUGGUUUGUUAAGUUGGAUGUGAAAUCCCCGGGCUCAACCUGGGAACUGCAUCCAAAACUGGCAAGCUAGAGUAUGGUAGAGGGUGGUGGAAUUUCCUGUGUAGCGGUGAAAUGCGUAGAUAUAGGAAGGAACACCAGUGGCGAAGGCGACCACCUGGACUGAUACUGACACUGAGGUGCGAAAGCGUGGGGAGCAAACAGGAUUAGAUACCCGUGUAGUCCCUGUCUCUUAUACA
Molecule: ribosomal RNA, 301 nt
Filed under: uncultured bacterium
Lineage: Bacteria
Description: partial 16S ribosomal RNA
Rfam family: Bacterial small subunit ribosomal RNA
Source: RNAcentral